GGUCUUAUAUUCAUUUUGUGAUUGUAGAAUGCAAUUCUGUAGGGAUGGUUGAAAUUUGGCCAUUAAGGCCU
RNAcentral lists this transfer RNA (71 nucleotides) under Neotermes sp. A TB-2014. RNAcentral describes it as "tRNA-Cys". Lineage: Eukaryota; Metazoa; Arthropoda; Insecta; Blattodea; Kalotermitidae. The record is from RNAcentral.